Molecule: ribosomal RNA, 996 nt
Filed under: Triticum aestivum (bread wheat)
Lineage: Eukaryota; Viridiplantae; Streptophyta; Magnoliopsida; Poales; Poaceae
Description: partial small subunit ribosomal RNA
Source: RNAcentral
AUGGGCAGCGGGGGUAGCAACCUGUCGAGCCUGGCGCCCAUGACCCUGCUGCAGCCGGCGUCGGCGCUCGUGUCUACCAGGAAGCGGAUGGCGCUGCUGCAGAUCAUCUCGGCGCCGUCCUCGCCCAGACCCAGCUCCAAAUUCGCGCUCUUCCUUCGAUUUGGCCGGAGGUGGAGAAGGAGGUCGUUGAGCGAUGGGAUGGCUACAGAGGGGGGGAGGAGGUCAGCCCCGUGCGCGUCGCCGGGGGCCGCGGAGGCGUGGGCCAGGGAUGGCCACCACGCACGGGGAGCUCCUUCCAUGGCUGGGGUGGUUGGACGCCAUCCGCGCUCACCACGAACGAGGCAUGGUCGCCAUCCACCAGCUCGUGUGCGGCCGGUGCUGCUCGCAGCUGCGACUGCUUGCGCCCGUCCGCGCUCUAGCGGCCGCUGCAGCCAUGACAGUCCGGUGCUCUUCCUCUCCUCCCGUGACAAGCCAUGGCAGCUCGUGCUCCAGGACGAAGACAACCUGCUCGAGGAAAUGCCCCAAAGAAAUCUGUCUUCAGAGAGAAAAGGCCAUGCCCAUGAUCAUCGCAACUACUCAAAGCCUCACCGACCCCUUUUUUACACAAGGACGAAGACUCUUGAUGCCACAAAUUUUCUGAAAGGAACUUGUCCAACACUGUUGUGCUGCAUUUCCGAGAUAUUCUUGCGCCGCUUUAGCUGCAGCUGCUGCAUUGCAUGCAUGAUGAGCGGUUUGCAGAUUGCACCGCCGAGCUGCUCAUCAGUUUCUCCUCUCCGAUGGAAGCACGGAGCCGAUGCCCCUUUUCACCGGACCUUCCCGACGCAACGCGGCAACCGCCGUGACUCUGAUGAUGCAACCAUCUAUCUUUCCCUUAUUUCCCUGAGGAGCAAGAGCAAAGCUGCUGCAGCAGUUAAAAAAAUAUGCUCACUGAUCAAGCAUCACACCUCUCUUUUUCCCGCUAAUUUUGGCAAAGCGAAAGCAAUUAGUCGUUGGUGA